UUCUCUAACGUCUCUCUCACUGAAAAUGCCAGCCUGUGAGUGGCUUUCAUCACUUCAAGAACUCGCCACGUCACCCUAGGUGAAGUUACCAUAAGGGCCUAAGGCUCCUCCUCUUGUUCCAGUCCUUCCCCCUUUUGUUAAAUUGUUAUUAGCUACAUAGUUGGGGGGCUAUUAUUAAGAUUUGGCCAACAAUAUCAUUCACUCUUGUCAGAAGUGGAGUUCUUUGAAAUUCUUUCUUCGUUCUUGAGGCCAGCAAGCAAACUCCAAAAACAAACCAGAACCUAUCUAAAAGAUUCACUUAAAAGAGAACCACAAGACCCUACAAGAUAAUGGAAGAAUCUUUAGCUGAACCAGAACCAGGAGAUGAAGUGGUGAAACGCAAGUUCUUCCUCAGUUAUGGCACUCUCUAAGCUUCCUCUCUCCACUAUCUUCUUCUUGUUGUACACUUCGCUUUUUACAAUAUCACAAGGUAAUUGACAGAAACCCACUUGUUUAUCCACUUUUUCAAGAAACUAAGAACAACCCUUUUGUGAUUCUCUUGUUUUUGUGUCAAAUUUGCAGCUUUAUCAUCGAAAAUAGCAGUGGCGCAAAAUCAAGCCCAAAACGACGUCGAUUAACGUCUAUUAAGUAUAAAAAAAAGAGACCGGGUCUCAGGCGGGUUUGACCGGGUGGCCCGGGUCCCGAGUCGACC
This 691-nucleotide long non-coding RNA is filed under the name Populus trichocarpa (black cottonwood). Its description in RNAcentral is "long non-coding RNA (PTRI_LNC001944)". Lineage: Eukaryota; Viridiplantae; Streptophyta; Magnoliopsida; Malpighiales; Salicaceae. The record is from RNAcentral.